GCUGGGUACAGUGGUGCAUACCUGUAAUCCCAGCAGCUCAGGAGGCUGAGGCAGGAGGAUUGAAAGUUCAAAGCCAGCCUCAGCAAAAGUAGGGCACUAAGCAACUCAGUGAGACCCUGUCUCUC
This 125-nucleotide small RNA is filed under the name Marmota monax (woodchuck). The record is from RNAcentral. Lineage: Eukaryota; Metazoa; Chordata; Mammalia; Rodentia; Sciuridae.